GGUAACAGGAUUAACUUGCUAAUCGCUGACGAGUGGCGGACGGGUGAGUAAUGCUUGGGAACUUGCCUUUGUGAGGGGGAUAACAGUUGGAAACGACUGCUAAUACCGCAUAAUGUCUUUGGACCAAACGGGGCUUCGGCUCCGGCGCAAAGAGAGGCCCAAGUGAGAUUAGCUAGUUGGUGAGGUAAGAGCUCACCAAGGCGACGAUCUCUAGCUGUUCUGAGAGGAAGAUCAGCCACACUGGGACUGAGACACGGCCCAGACUCCUACGGGAGGCAGCAGUGGGGAAUAUUGCACAAUGGGGGAAACCCUGAUGCAGCCAUGCCGCGUGUGUGAAGAAGGCCUUCGGGUUGUAAAGCACUUUCAGUUGUGAGGAAAAGUUAGUAGUUAAUACCUGCUAGCCGUGACGUUAACAACAGAAGAAGCACCGGCUAACUCCGUGCCAGCAGCCGCGGUAAUACGGAGGGUGCGAGCGUUAAUCGGAAUUACUGGGCGUAAAGCGCACGCAGGCGGUUUGUUAAGCUAGAUGUGAAAGCCCCGAGCUCAACUUGGGAUGGUCAUUUAGAACUGGCAGACUAGAGUCUUGGAGAGGGGAGUGGAAUUCCAGGUGUAGCGGUGAAAUGCGUAGAUAUCUGGAGGAACAUCAGUGGCGAAGGCGACUCCCUGGCCAAAGACUGACGCUCAUGUGCGAAAGUGUGGGUAGCGAACAGGAUUAGAUACCCUGGUAGUCCACACCGUAACGCUGUCUAC
This 750-nucleotide ribosomal RNA is filed under the name uncultured Alteromonas sp. Its description in RNAcentral is "bacterial SSU rRNA". It matches the Rfam family "Bacterial small subunit ribosomal RNA", at positions 68 to 816 of the family's 1533-position model. The record is from RNAcentral. Lineage: Bacteria; Pseudomonadati; Pseudomonadota; Gammaproteobacteria; Alteromonadales; Alteromonadaceae.